Molecule: ribosomal RNA, 201 nt
Filed under: Triticum aestivum (bread wheat)
Lineage: Eukaryota; Viridiplantae; Streptophyta; Magnoliopsida; Poales; Poaceae
Description: partial small subunit ribosomal RNA
Source: RNAcentral
AUGGCGGAGGAACCGUCUACCAAGCAUCAUCAUGCCGAGACGUCGGACAAGAGGAGCAACCUCGUCGACAUUAAAGUCCCCGGCGAGAAGCGCAACUACACCAGAACGCUCAAAGGGGUUGAGCUCCACGGCAAGGAGACGCUGGAGAUCGUCUGCACCAGCGAACCAGACAAGGCCGAUGAGGUGAUCUCCAUGCUGUAG